CACAUAUCUCAUAACCUUCAUUCAUACAAAGAUGGUCAGAAUUCAAUGUAUUCAAAGAAAAAGAAAAUAAGAAGAUUUUACCCCCCGUUGAGGAAAUUGUUUAUCAUACAACAGAGAAAAAGGGUUGAUCACACGUUGGCAAGAGAUUUUUCUCACUUCUUCCCACUAAAAUUGGUGACUUUUAGUGGCUGUUAUAGAACUUGUAUAAAUGAAUCAACGGCCUGGACGCAUUUCUCCAAGCUCGUACCUCCCAUCAACUCCAAACCCUUCAUUUUACAUUCCUUUUACACCACGCCUCACCAACCAACAUUAUCAAUAAAUGACCCAAAAUUUGGAGGACCAAAUGAAGAUAUUACUAAAAUAUCAUUGUAAAUGCAGUAUGAUGGCUUACAACAACUUAACUUAAGAUCUCCGUGCACUACAUCAUCAUCCAUACACCCAGAUCACAUGGUCAAAUAUAAAGACAACUAGGAAAAACGUAGGAAAGCUUCAUCGUAUUAUUACAUCUGACAGCAUGCAUGAAACAGUUCACAGCCUUUAGAGACAAUACAAGUACAAACCGCAUUCCACGAGAAGCAUAUCUACAACAACCGUUUUCAGAAUCUACACCAACCGUUUUCAGAAUCUACACCAACCGUUUUCAGAAAAACCAGAACAUGUUCACACUGCGGUACCUACGGCCCUCUCCUUCGGCAUACUGUUACAAAGGGUUUUGUGCAUG
RNAcentral lists this long non-coding RNA (721 nucleotides) under Carica papaya (papaya). RNAcentral describes it as "long non-coding RNA (CPAP_LNC004801)". Lineage: Eukaryota; Viridiplantae; Streptophyta; Magnoliopsida; Brassicales; Caricaceae. The record is from RNAcentral.